Molecule: ribosomal RNA, 687 nt
Filed under: Flavobacterium sp. SCB-3
Lineage: Bacteria; Pseudomonadati; Bacteroidota; Flavobacteriia; Flavobacteriales; Flavobacteriaceae
Description: bacterial SSU rRNA
Rfam family: Bacterial small subunit ribosomal RNA
Source: RNAcentral
CUUUCCGNAUNUUGGGUUUAAAGGGUCCGUAGGCGGUUUAAUAAGUCAGUGGUGAAAGCCCAUCGCUCAACGGUGGAACGGCCAUUGAUACUGUUAGACUUGAAUUAUUAGGAAGUAACUAGAAUAUGUAGUGUAGCGGUGAAAUGCUUAGAGAUUACAUGGAAUACCAAUUGCGAAGGCAGGUUACUACUAAUUGAUUGACGCUGAUGGACGAAAGCGUGGGUAGCGAACAGGAUUAGAUACCCUGGUAGUCCACGCCGUAAACGAUGGAUACUAGCUGUUGGGAGCAAUUUCAGUGGCUAAGCGAAAGUGAUAAGUAUCCCACCUGGGGAGUACGUUCGCAAGAAUGAAACUCAAAGGAAUUGACGGGGGCCCGCACAAGCGGUGGAGCAUGUGGUUUAAUUCGAUGAUACGCGAGGAACCUUACCAAGGCUUAAAUGUAGAUUGACCGGUUUGGAAACAGACUUUUCGCAAGACAAUUUACAAGGUGCUGCAUGGUUGUCGUCAGCUCGUGCCGUGAGGUGUCAGGUUAAGUCCUAUAACGAGCGCAACCCCUGUUGUUAGUUGCCAGCGAGUCAAGUCGGGAACUCUAACAAGACUGCCAGUGCAAACUGUGAGGAANGUGGGGAUGACNUCAAUCAUCACGGCCCUUACNCCUUGGGCUACACACNUGCUACAAUGGCCGGU